GAGGAGCCAAACCGCUCAGCAGAGAGUGAUUCUCUCUGAGAAUUUUCCUCUGAUACUAGAUUUUGUAUUGGAAGAAUAAUGAUCCAAAAAAAAAAAGGAUCGGAGGCAGAGCUAGGAAUAGGAGACUGGCUUCCGCUGCUGGGUUUGCUGGGGCAGCCGUUGUCAGCUUCCCCCGGAGAAAGGUUAUCAACGGGUGGAGUCAAAGCCCGAUGUCAGGAUUCACCGAUUGGGUUUUCCAAAUGCCCAGUAUGGGUCAGCCAGUCAGAAAUCAAUCAGGCCUCCAUGGGGAGACCACAUGUCCUCUUUCGGUUCCCUGGGCACAUGCACGUGUUGGAUGCAUACGGUGUUCUGCACAGAGUGCCUGACUCAGCCUCUCCCACGUUCUCUGUUUCUUACUGCUUGCUGAUGGGCCUCUGGUCCACAGUGCAGGGAAGGCGGCUUCCCCCAGGACCUCUGGCUGGGCGUCAGUGCGGAUGCUGUGUCUGUGUACAAGCGUGGGGAGGGAAGACCGUUGGAAGUCUUCCAAUACGAGCACAUCCUCUCUUUCGGGGCGCCGCUGGCAAACACGUACAAAAUCGUGGUCGACGAGAGGGAGCUGCUCUUUGAAACCAGUGAGGUGGUGGACGUGGCCAAGCUCAUGAAAGCCUACAUCAGCAUGAUCGUGAAGAAACGCUACAGCACGUCGCGCUCCGUGAGCAGCCAGGGCAGCUCCAGGUGAAGGCAGGAGGGAAUCCCCGCGUCUCCAGCUUCCCGAGCGGCAGCCCUCUGGCCUGGGCCGGCGCCUGCGCAGAGCCGGGUGAAGCCGCCCCGCCUCCCGGAAGCCCCUCGCCGGAGGGAGGGGCCUCCGAGCGUCCUUCCGCCCUCUCAACUUCCGCGAGCCUGUAUUAAGCGGUCAACCUUAACAGCCAGCCCCGUUUGGAAAGCUUUACUACUCUUAGAUGUCACAUGCCUUAAAAGAGAGAGGACAAACCCCCCUCCGCCUCCCCCCCGCCCCCGCCAAAGCAGCCAGAAGUGCCUUAACGUGUGGACCCAACACUAACUGACCUUAACUGUGCUACUGAAGGGAGAUGCCCCCUCCUGCCAUCUUGGGGGAGACUUAGAAAGCUUGGACGGGGAGGGGCGUUUAUCCAUCAAUUCUGCACUAACCUCCCAGCCUGAUUUCCCUACUUUGAGGGAAGGUGAGGGAGCGGGGAGGGGGGACAGAGGGAGCACAAGGGGACAGGAUAUUUUAGUCGGAGCGCUGCUGGCAGCCUUCCCUGUGGACGUAGAUUAACUUCUGUUUUCUCUUUCACGUCUCUGUGCUUGCCUGUGCAUGCAUGUGUUCAUAAACUCAUCACUUUAAUCAUUGUCUCAUGAGCAUUAAAAGCAAAGGGAAAAGAGGAUGUGCAAUGGUGUAAACAGUCUGUCUGUAUAUUUUAAUAGUUCAGAGUUCUAGUCUUCAAUCGUUACUUUAUAAGGUGGUUUUAUUAACAGACCAGAAUCUUGGAUUUUCCUGUCUUUGCUGUAUUUCGAAAACCACGUUUUGACUCCGUUUUGUUUUACGUGUAGCAAAGUCUGCACUCUGUGUCUGCUGUAUUAUAAACAGAUAUGCAGCCCAUACAGAUAAUGGUAUUUAUAAACCACUCUGACUCCAAUGCUGUUUUUAGAACUAUAUGAAGUCAUUUUGGAGUCUUUAGUUUCUAAAAAAUUUAAGUUAAAAAAUUUCUUUGAAGGUGAGUUUGUAUCGCUCCAGGUAGAUGACCAUAUGACCACAUUGGGUAUGGUGGAAAGAAGCUUCAUUCCCCAGGGGUAUAAUGUGCGAGUGAAUCUUGAAAGGACCCUGACCAUAUAAAUGCCGAGGCUUUAAGAAAAUACAUUUUAUCCCAAGUUUAUAAUGAUAGUCCAAUAAGGUGCCUGUAAAUAAAUCAGCAUUUAUGACCAGAAGAAAAAUAAUCUGGUCCUGGACUUUUAUUUUUAUAUGGAAAAAAGUUGUAAAGACUUAGGCCAACUGAGUCUGCCCACAAAGAAAAAAAAAAUUGCCUUAUCUUUCCUGGACAGCCCUGCGAAAUCCUUGUUUGUUGGCUCAAAGUAAGUCUGACAAUAAAAGAUAUUAGCUAUC
Molecule: non-coding RNA, 2098 nt
Organism: Leptonychotes weddellii (Weddell seal)
Lineage: Eukaryota; Metazoa; Chordata; Mammalia; Carnivora; Phocidae
Source: RefSeq, a predicted model, not a curated record